RNAcentral lists this ribosomal RNA (1522 nucleotides) under metagenome. Its description in RNAcentral is "bacterial SSU rRNA". It matches the Rfam family "Bacterial small subunit ribosomal RNA". The record is from RNAcentral.
AGAGUUUGAUCAUGGCUCAGAUUGAACGCUGGCGGCAGGCCUAACACAUGCAAGUCGAACGGUAACAGGAAGAAGCUUGCUUCUUUGCUGACGAGUGGCGGACGGGUGAGUAAUGUCUGGGAAGCUGCCUGAUGGAGGGGGAUAACUACUGGAAACGGUAGCUAAUACCGCAUAACGUCGCAAGACCAAAGAGGGGGACCUUCGGGCCUCUUGCCAUCGGAUGUGCCCAGAUGGGAUUAGCUAGUAGGUGGGGUAACGGCUCACCUAGGCGACGAUCCCUAGCUGGUCUGAGAGGAUGACCAGCCACACUGGAACUGAGACACGGUCCAGACUCCUACGGGAGGCAGCAGUGGGGAAUAUUGCACAAUGGGCGCAAGCCUGAUGCAGCCAUGCCGCGUGUAUGAAGAAGGCCUUCGGGUUGUAAAGUACUUUCAGCGGGGAGGAAGGGAGUAAAGUUAAUACCUUUGCUCAUUGACGUUACCCGCAGAAGAAGCACCGGCUAACUCCGUGCCAGCAGCCGCGGUAAUACGGAGGGUGCAAGCGUUAAUCGGAAUUACUGGGCGUAAAGCGCACGCAGGCGGUUUGUUAAGUCAGAUGUGAAAUCCCCGGGCUCAACCUGGGAACUGCAUCUGAUACUGGCAAGCUUGAGUCUCGUAGAGGGGGGUAGAAUUCCAGGUGUAGCGGUGAAAUGCGUAGAGAUCUGGAGGAAUACCGGUGGCGAAGGCGGCCCCCUGGACGAAGACUGACGCUCAGGUGCGAAAGCGUGGGUAGCAAACAGGAUUAGAUACCCUGGUAGUCCACGCCGUAAACGAUGUCGACUUGGAGGUUGUGCCCUUGAGGCGUGGCUUCCGGAGCUAACGCGUUAAGUCGACCGCCUGGGGAGUACGGCCGCAAGGUUAAAACUCAAAUGAAUUGACGGGGGCCCGCACAAGCGGUGGAGCAUGUGGUUUAAUUCGAUGCAACGCGAAGAACCUUACCUGGUCUUGACAUCCACGGAAGUUUUCAGAGAUGAGAAUGUGCCUUCGGGAACCGUGAGACAGGUGCUGCAUGGCUGUCGUCAGCUCGUGUUGUGAAAUGUUGGGUUAAGUCCCGCAACGAGCGCAACCCUUAUCCUUUGUUGCCAGCGGUCCGGCCGGGAACUCAAAGGAGACUGCCAGUGAUAAACUGGAGGAAGGUGGGGAUGACGUCAAGUCAUCAUGGCCCUUACGACCAGGGCUACACAAGUGCUACAAUGGCGCAUACAAAGAGAAGCGACCUCGCGAGAGCAAGCGGACCUCAUAAAGUGCGUCGUAGUCCGGAUUGGAGUCUGCAACUCGACUCCAUGAAGUCGGAAUCGCUAGUAAUCGUGGAUCAGAAUGCCACGGUGAAUACGUUCCCGGGCCUUGUACACACCGCCCGUCACACCAUGGGAGUGGGUUGCAAAAGAAGUAGGUAGCUUAACCUUCGGGAGGGCGCUUACCACUUUGUGAUUCAUGACUGGGGUGAAGUCGAAACAAGGUAACCGUAGGGGAACCUGCGGUUG